CGCUGGCGGCGUGCUUCAUACAUGCAAGUCGAACGAUAAGGCGUCUUCGGACGUACAUAAGUGGCGGACGGGUGAGUAAUAUGUAGAGAAUCUGCCCUAGAGUGGGGGACAACCGUUGGAAACGACAGCUAAUACCCCAUAUGAGCGUAGUUGAGAUACUAUUCUUGAAAACUCCGGUGCUCUGGGAUGAGUCUGCAUCUGAUUAGCUAGUUGGGGGUGUAAUGGACCACCAAGGCGAUGAUCAGUAGCUGGUUUGAGAGGAUGAUCAGCCACAAUGGGACUGAGACACGGCCCAUACUCCUACGGGAGGCAGCAGUAGGGAAUUUUGCGCAAUGGGGGAAACCCUGACGCAGCAACGCCGCGUGACCGAUUAAGCCCUUCGGGGUGUAAAGGUCUGUCAGUGGGGACGAAAAAUGACGGUACCCACAGAGGAAGCACCGGCUAACUCCGUGCCAGCCGCAGC
Molecule: ribosomal RNA, 463 nt
Filed under: uncultured bacterium
Lineage: Bacteria
Description: bacterial SSU rRNA
Rfam family: Bacterial small subunit ribosomal RNA
Source: RNAcentral